AUAAAAUCCAUUCCAUCUCUUAUUUCUAACAAUAUCCAUAAAAUUCAUACCCAAAGUCAAAAAGUCGAUGAGCCACCUGCUAAAAUUCUGUCAAGGCAAAAAAGAGCAUGCUAAGCAAUAUCGAAGAAAGCCAUGAAUGAUGAAAUCCAAAAGAGAGAAAGAAGUCGAACUGCGUAAGUAGAAUUUUUCAACCAAACUUCGUCAAUUUUUUUAUGAUCAUUCUCUUUUCUCUAUCUGUCUUCUAAUUUGAGAUGGAUACAAAAAGAAGAGAGGAAAUUAAUGUGAGGGAAAAUAUUGACAAGAAAAUUUUGACGAAAUUCAUUGUUUUUCUCACUACUAUUGUCUGGAUUUGGAACAAAAAGAGGGAGAAGCGAGGAAAGAUUGGGGUGGGGGAGAAAGAAAGGAG
This 406-nucleotide long non-coding RNA is filed under the name Nicotiana benthamiana. RNAcentral's name for it is "long non-coding RNA (NBEN_LNC038977)". Lineage: Eukaryota; Viridiplantae; Streptophyta; Magnoliopsida; Solanales; Solanaceae. The record is from RNAcentral.